AUUGAACGCUGGCGGCAUGCCUUACACAUGCAAGUCGAACGGCAGCACGGGUGCUUGCACCUGGUGGCGAGUGGCGCACGGGUGAGUAAUACAUCGGAACAUGUCCUGUAGUGGGGGAUAGCCCGGCGAAAGCCGGAUUACUACCGCCUACGAUUUACGGAUGAAAGCGGGGGCCCUUCGGGCCUCGCGCUUUAGGGUUGGUCGGUGGCUGAUUAGCUAGUUGGUGGGGUAAAGGCCUACCAAGGCGACGAUCAGUAGCUGGUCUGAGAGGACGACCAGCCACACUGGGACUGAGACACGGCCCAGACUCCUACGGGAGGCAGCAGUGGGGAAUUUUGGACAAUGGGCGAAAGCCUGACCCAGCAAUGCCGCGUGUGUGAAGAAGGCCUUCGGGUUGUAAAGCACUUUUGUCCGGAAAGAAGUCCUGGGCCCUAAUACGGUCGGGGGAUGACGGUACCGGAAGAAUAAGCACCGGCUAACUACGUG
Molecule: ribosomal RNA, 486 nt
Filed under: uncultured bacterium
Lineage: Bacteria
Description: partial 16S ribosomal RNA
Rfam family: Bacterial small subunit ribosomal RNA
Source: RNAcentral